UACGAAGGGUGCUAGCGUUGUUCGGAAUCACUGGGCGUAAAGCGCGCGUAGGCGGUUAUUCAAGUCAGGGGUGAAAUCCUGGGGCUCAACCCCAGAAUUGCCUUUGAAACUGUGUAACUGGAGUGUCGGAGGGGAGUGCGGAAUUGCUAAUGUAGCGGUGAAAUGCGUAGAUAUUAGCAGGAACACCGGUGGCGAAGGCGGCACUCUGGACGACAACUGACGCUGAGGCGCGAAAGCGCGGGGAUCAAACAGG
This 253-nucleotide ribosomal RNA is filed under the name uncultured bacterium. Its description in RNAcentral is "partial 16S ribosomal RNA". It matches the Rfam family "Bacterial small subunit ribosomal RNA", at positions 524 to 776 of the family's 1533-position model. The record is from RNAcentral.